Long non-coding RNA from Anguilla anguilla (European eel), 399 nucleotides. RefSeq lists it as uncharacterized. The transcript is spliced from 2 exons. NCBI's taxonomy places the organism in Eukaryota, Metazoa, Chordata, Actinopteri, Anguilliformes, Anguillidae. The record is from RefSeq and is a predicted model, not a curated record.
CGAAAAAACUGACUGACUCAGGGCAGGACUAACGUUAGGAGAAUAACGAUAGUUAACGAACGUUACCAUCAUGGAUGGGAGAAAGAAGCCUUCGGGCGCCCAAAACCGAAAAAGAAAAAUGAAAAGACAGGAUACAGAAAGAAAGAUGAGAACAUCACUGUCAAACUGGAUAACCAAACCAACAUCACAGCAGGAGCAGGGUGAUCAGAGCAGUUCAGAGUCCAGUCAGAGCUUAGCAAAUGGAGGCAGGAAUACUAACGUUAGCGAGGAACAGAGCAGAGAGGGUAAUGAUGCCAGCAUUAACAGUGACGGAGUGACAAGUAAUGCUAGUGGAGACUCGGACGAGGCUGGCAGGUAGGCUGUUACCAGGGACAUAAGGGCUCAGAUGAAAAAAAAAAA